Long non-coding RNA from Papio anubis (olive baboon), 2991 nucleotides. NCBI's taxonomy places the organism in Eukaryota, Metazoa, Chordata, Mammalia, Primates, Cercopithecidae. The record is from Ensembl.
AUUUGUCUUCAUCCACAUACUCAUAUUGGAUACUGAGUUUGCCCAUAAAAAAGCGUGCUCUAACAGAAUCAUAGAAUUUCUAUGUUGGAAAAGUUCUUAGAAGUCCAAUCUCCUUCCAGCUUUUUUCCAUGUUACAUAGAAUGUGCUUGCUUCUGCUUCCCCUUCCAACUCCUCCACCUGUUCCAUCUCUGGCACCACUGACAUGGCAAGACCAACUCUGCCUCUUCCUCCUCUGUAGCCUACUUAAUGUGAAGAAUACAAGAAUGAAGACUUUUAUGAUGAUCCACUUCCACAUAAGCUUCCAGGAAUGUUUCUCACGUGUUUUCAGCUGCCCCAUCUUGUUUUGACACUUCUGACAGGGACCUGUAUAGAGAUGGGAAGAGGAUCCAGAGGCUGACCUUGGACUUGGGCUGGCCUACUGAUUGCAGACUGCCUGGGCUGCUGCCACUGCUUUGUCUCUCCCUCCAGCUGCACUCAAGGCCCCCAUUGAUCAGCCCACUGAAUGUUUUACAGCUACAGCUUUGGACAGGUCAUUGGAGAAAUUGAUUGCAGUCAAUUCCCAGCAGAUUGAGCCACAGCGACUUGUCUCCUGGUCCCACCAAUAAGCACCUUGACUCCCGUCUUUAAUUACCCUAGUAAGCCUCUGCAUAAUGGUCAGGGCACAAGCUGAUGAGGGAGACAGACAGAGAAAGAGAGAAAGAGAGAAAGAAAGAGAGAGAAGGAAAAUGUGGGGGCUGAAAUAAAACAGCCUUCCCUAGAGUUGGGUGCUUUCUUAACCUGUGCCAGGAAACUGGGUCACAUUUGCUCAUUAUGAAUUUAGCAUGUAGAUUAUUAGAAAACUUGAUUACAAAAUCAAGAAUCAAGUUGGGCUCAAGACUCAAUUCAGCCAACUAAUUUAGUAAAUUUGGCAAGUUAUUUUGCAUAGCUGGGACCUGUUUCACAUCUGUAAAUGAGAAAAUUGCUAAGGUAACCUUAAUAACUACAAACAUGUGUAAAUAGUAAUAAAACCAUCACCCCUACUACCAAUACAAUGAAGACAAAGAUGGCAAUGAGUGCUAGCAUUUAUUGAAUAUUUAGAGGUUUCCAGCACCAUGAUAAAUUACUUACAUGAAUACUUUUUUCUCACUAAUUUUUAAGAUAUCAUCCUAUGAUAAGACAUAGAAAAUAUUUUUCUCUAUUUCACUUAAGUAGACACUGAAGCUCAGAAGUUUAGGCUCUUGUCCAAAUUCAUAAUAUUAAGAAUCAAACUCAAGCUUCUCCGGAGUCUAUGUGAAAUAUCAGAUAGCUUAGAAACUAGUUUACAUACAUUAUCUUGAUUUCAUAUGAAGCCUUGCAGCUCUAUAUAUGCAUACUAGGAGAUAAACUUGGUAGGAGGCAUCUUGGCUUAAUAGUCUUGUGGUCAAAGAGGCCCAAUCCUACUUUUGUCUUAGCACAAAGGGAAGCUCUGUGCCGCUAGUAUUUACAUAUUUGCAUCUUUGCUCUUAAGAAAAACUGGAAGUUUAAAUUGACUGUUGUUUCUUUUUUUUUUUUUUUUUUUUUUUUUUGAGAUGGAGUCUUGCUCUGUCGCCCAGGCUGGAGUGCAGUGGCCCGAUCUCAGCUCACUGCAAGCUCCGCCUCCCGAGUUCACGCCAUUCUCCUGCCUCAGCCUCCCGAGUAGCUGGGACUACAGGCGCCCACCACCUCUCCCGGCUAGUUUUUUGUAUUUUUUAGUAGAGACGGGGUAAAUUGACUGUUGUUUCUAUCCUGUGCAUCACUCUCAAGGCUUCAAGAUCAUUCAGUGAUUGAUUUCCGCAAUGUGAGCAGCAGGCUACCUACUUCAUCUCCUGGAGAUCAACGUCUCCUGGGGGACUUGUUCAAAAACAUAUUCCUGGUCCACUCUAGCACUAUUUAAUCCAAAUUCUUAGAGAAGGGGUCCAGGACACUGCAUUUCAACAAGGGCCCCUGGUGAUUCUUGGGAAUACUAAUGUUUGAGAACCACUGUGACUGAGAAUCAUGUUUUAUCCAGAGCUCAAAUUCAAGGUUAUACCUCACCCUCAUACCACCCAGCAGACCCUGAUUGCCACAACCCUCACAGAGGGUUUUGGCAUUUUUCUCAUUCUUUGUAGUCUGAACUCUUAGGUGUCUACCCAUCAGCCAUCCCCACACCGCUUCCUCCUCCUGUCCUGCUUCCUUGAAUACAACACCCAGUUUCAUCCAGAAGAAUGUACUUAGUCAUAGAGGAUGAAUCGUAAUUGUUCUAGACCAUUGAGCCAUCCCUAUUCUUUUUUUCCAGUGACUGGUUAGGGGUGAGAAUGUCAUCUAAUUCUGGCUAAUAUGAGGCAAAGUCUUUUCGGGGGACUCUUGGGGAAACAUUUUAAUUUAUCAUAAAAGAUAAAUCUACAUAGGGGGAUGGUCCUUUGCUCAAUUCCCUCCCUUCAUACUUUGGACACAGACCUGUGAGUAUGUGACACUUGGAGGUUCUACCUCAAUCUUGCAACUAGGAGGUGACAGAUGAGAAGCCAAUGAGAAGCCAGUAUGGUGAGGGUGGCAGAGCAAAUAAAUCCCUGUGUCCUUGAAGACAAGCUUAGAGCUACCCUAACAUUCCUGAGGUCAACUGAUUCUAGUCUAAUUAUAUGAAUCAUAGAAAUCUUUAUGGGUAAACCACUUAGUCAAGAUAUCUCAUCGCAGCUCAAAGCAUCUUAAGUUUCUCCUUACCCUAUAUUGCCCUUAAGCAUUUCUUCCCCUUUAAAAUCAAUGUAGAAAAAUCAUGCUGAAGUUUUAUUGACCCAGCCUGCUAGCUAUCAUGUGAGAGAGUGAGGUGAAGAGACAUUAACAUGGCCAUGUGACCCUGCUGUCAAAUAUCAGUUGUCCUAACUAAUCUUUGGAUUAUUCUGGCUUGCAGUAAAUUGGUAGUAGGAUUCUCUAAACAGAAUUGGUCCUAUAGAGUAGGGGUCUGAAAACAAUGCAAGCCAAGUCUGGUUUACUGCCUGUUUUUGUAAAUCUCACUGGGAC